Molecule: ribosomal RNA, 421 nt
Filed under: bacterium Ellin5043
Lineage: Bacteria; Pseudomonadati; Pseudomonadota; Alphaproteobacteria; Hyphomicrobiales; Nitrobacteraceae
Description: bacterial SSU rRNA
Rfam family: Bacterial small subunit ribosomal RNA
Source: RNAcentral
AGCGAACGCUGGCGGCAGGCUUAACACAUGCAAGUCGAGCGGGCGUAGCAAUACGUCAGCGGCAGACGGGUGAGUAACGCGUGGGAACGUACCUUUUGGUUCGGAACAACACAGGGAAACUUGUGCUAAUACCGGAUAAGCCCUUACGGGGAAAGAUUUAUCGCCGAAAGAUCGGCCCGCGUCUGAUUAGCUAGUUGGUGAGGUAACGGCUCACCAAGGCGACGAUCAGUAGCUGGUCUGAGAGGAUGAUCAGCCACAUUGGGACUGAGACACGGCCCAAACUCCUACGGGAGGCAGCAGUGGGGAAUAUUGGACAAUGGGCGCAAGCCUGAUCCAGCCAUGCCGCGUGAGUGAUGAAGGCCCUAGGGUUGUAAAGCUCUUUUGUGCGGGAAGAUAAUGACGGUCCGCAAGAAUAAGCCCG